GUAAACUGAGCAAUUGCGGGGGCGCUUUUUGCGCCCGUGAGGAAAGUCCGAGCAUCACACAGCAGGGUAACGGCUAACAGCCGCCGAGGGCGACCUUAGGGAAAGUGCAUAGAAAUAUACCGCCAUAAGUUUUAUGGUAAGGGUGGAAAGGCGAGGUAAGAGCUCACCGGGAUGCAGGUAACUGUAUUGCCGAGUAAACCCUACCCGAUGCAACAUCGACCGAAGUUGUCAGCUGGGCAAAUACUUCGAAGGAUGGCUUGAGCGCGUCGGCAACGGCGCGCGUAGAUAGAUAAUUGCUUUCAACGACAGAACUCGGCUUACAGGUUUACUCA
Molecule: RNase P RNA, 332 nt
Filed under: human gut metagenome
Description: Bacterial RNase P class A
Rfam family: Bacterial RNase P class A
About the family: Ribonuclease P (RNase P) is a ubiquitous endoribonuclease, found in archaea, bacteria and eukarya as well as chloroplasts and mitochondria.
Source: RNAcentral